CAUGAAGAACCAAAGCACCAACGUGAAGUUGCAGCUGCUAAGAAGGGCCUCUUGCUCUCUCAGCAGGUACCUUGGCUGGGACGUCCUGAUACUACACGCCGCCUGCAGCAAGUUGCUCAUUGGCGAAAGCAGCUGUAUGAAAUGCACCACAUUGGGAAGCAGAACCAGCAUACAGCAAGCCAUCUCCUGAAAACCAAACACCUCAUGGACCUCAGUGACACUUAUGGAAAAGAAGGACCAACCCGCUAUUUCAUAUUUAAUUAAAAUCCAUUAUUAUUUCAUUCCAGCUAUUGAAAAAGGCAAUUAUAUGAGACACUUUGCAUUUAACAGUC
This is a non-coding RNA of Anolis sagrei ordinatus, 332 nucleotides long. The record is from RefSeq and is a predicted model, not a curated record. Lineage: Eukaryota; Metazoa; Chordata; Lepidosauria; Squamata; Anolidae.